This 52-nucleotide transfer RNA is filed under the name Pseudogymnoascus sp. VKM F-4517 (FW-2822). It matches the Rfam family "tRNA", at positions 21 to 71 of the family's 71-position model. Rfam says of the family: Transfer RNA (tRNA) molecules are approximately 80 nucleotides in length. Their secondary structure includes four short double-helical elements and three loops (D, anti-codon, and T loops). Lineage: Eukaryota; Fungi; Ascomycota; Leotiomycetes; Thelebolales; Thelebolaceae. The record is from Rfam by way of RNAcentral.
AGGCGCUUGACUACGAAUCAAGAGAUUGCAGGUUCGAUCCCUGCGUAGGUCA